UUUCCGUAGGUGAACCUGCGGAAGGAUCAUUAAUGAGUUGUCAUGGGGUUCGAUGCUGGCAGCCAAUUUUUGGAUGCAUGUGCUUGCCGUAACAAUCAUCUUCCAAACACCUGUGCACAUUUUUGAGGGAGUCUUGAGUUGGUUGCCGCUCUUGGGUGAUUUUCUCACAUUCCCUUAAAUCAUUAUACGCUAUUAACAAUGUUGAACGUGCUCUGUGCCGCAAGGCUAUUAAUAUAAUACAACUUUUAACAACGGAUCUCUUGGCUCUC
This 269-nucleotide unclassified non-coding RNA is filed under the name plant metagenome. RNAcentral's name for it is "partial contains small subunit ribosomal RNA, internal transcribed spacer 1, and 5.8S ribosomal RNA". The record is from RNAcentral.